GGGGAAUUUUGGACAAUGGGCGCAAGCCUGAUCCAGCAAUGCCGCGUGAGUGAAGAAGGCCUUCGGGUUGUAAAGCUCUUUUGUCAGGGAAGAAACGGUGAGGGCUAAUAUCCUUUGCUAAUGACGGUACCUGAAGAAUAAGCACCGGCUAACUACGUGCCAGCAGCCGCGGUAAUACGUAGGGUGCAAGCGUUAAUCGGAAUUACUGGGCGUAAAGCGUGCGCAGGCGGUUAUGUAAGUCAGAUGUGAAAUCCCCGGGCUCAACCUGGGAAUGGCAUUUGAGACUGCAUGGCUAGAGUGUGUCAGAGGGGGGUAGAAUUCCACGUGUAGCAGUGAAAUGCGUAGAGAUGUGGAGGAAUACCGAUGGCGAAGGCAGCCCCCUGGGAUAACACUGACGCUCAUGCACGAAAGCGUGGGGAGCAAACA
This 426-nucleotide ribosomal RNA is filed under the name Variovorax paradoxus. RNAcentral describes it as "partial 16S ribosomal RNA". It matches the Rfam family "Bacterial small subunit ribosomal RNA", at positions 356 to 774 of the family's 1533-position model. RNAcentral also lists the same sequence under 2 other names. The record is from RNAcentral. Lineage: Bacteria; Pseudomonadati; Pseudomonadota; Betaproteobacteria; Burkholderiales; Comamonadaceae.